AGUGAACGCUGGCGGUAGGCCUAACACAUGCAAGUCGAACGGCAGCACAGUAAGAGCUUGCUCUUACGGGUGGCGAGUGGCGGACGGGUGAGGAAUACAUCGGAAUCUACUUUUUCGUGGGGGACAACGUAGGGAAACUUACGCUAAUACCGCAUACGACCUACGGGUGAAAGCAGGGGAGCUUCGGACCUUGCGCGAUUGAAUGAGCCGAUGGCGGAUUAGCUAGUUGGCGGGGUAAAGGCCCACCAAGGCGACGAUCCGUAGCUGGUCUGAGAGGAUGAUCAGCCACACUGGAACUGAGACACGGUCCAGACUCCUACGGGAGGCAGCAGUGGGGAAUAUUGGACAAUGGGCGCAAGCCUGAUCCAGCCAUACCGCGUGGGUGAAGAAGGCCUUCGGGUUGUAAAGCACUUUUGUUGGGAAAGAAAAGCAGCAGGUUAAUACCCCGCUGUUCUGACGGUACCCAAAGAAUAGGCACCGGCUAACUUCGUG
This 492-nucleotide ribosomal RNA is filed under the name uncultured bacterium. RNAcentral describes it as "partial 16S ribosomal RNA". It matches the Rfam family "Bacterial small subunit ribosomal RNA", at positions 29 to 507 of the family's 1533-position model. The record is from RNAcentral.